This 1977-nucleotide ribosomal RNA is filed under the name Triticum aestivum (bread wheat). Its description in RNAcentral is "partial small subunit ribosomal RNA". Lineage: Eukaryota; Viridiplantae; Streptophyta; Magnoliopsida; Poales; Poaceae. The record is from RNAcentral.
AUGUCGUCGCCGACCGCCGCGCCGGCGCCGACUACGCCCCCGGCGCCGCCGGCUAACGCCACCGCGCCUCCCCCGGCCACCCCGUCGGCACCUCCCCCGGCGAUCCCCUCCCCCUCGCCGCCGGCCCCCGCCAACCCGCCCCCGGUCUCCGUCCCGCCGCCGGCAGCGCCCGCGGCCUCCCCUCCCGCGCCGUCCUCCACACCGGCCACCCCAUCGGCACCAUCUCCGUCACCCCCUGCCACCCCUUCCCCGCCCUCGGACACGCCCUCUUCGCCCUCGCCAGAAGGGAGGUCCCCGCCCUCGCCCGCUGGCGGGGGAAGAUCGCCUUCCACGCCAGGCCACAACAACCCGUCGCCCAAAUCGCCGCCUCAUUCCUCCGGUGGCGGUGGCGGUGGCGGUGGCUCCGGGGUGUCCACGUCGGUGGUCGUCGGCGUAGCCGUGGGUGGCUUCGUGCUGCUGCUGCUCGCUACCUUCGUGUGCCUCUGCUGCCUCCGGAAGAAGCGCCGCCGCCAGCCUCCACCCCCGCACUAUGGUUACCCGCCGCCUCCUCCUCCGCAGUACAAAGAGGAUCAUUAUGGAGCAACAUACCAGAAUUGGCAGAAUAAUGCUCCUCCUCCUCCACCUGAUCAUGUGGUUAAGAUGCACCCAUCACCUCCUCCAGCAUAUGCCAAUCGUCCUCCACAGGCACCACCGCCGCCUCCACCCCCUAUGAUAAACAACAGCGGUGGGUCAGGUUCUAAUUACUCAGGUGGUGAGAUCCUGCCUCCACCAUCCCCUGGGACCGCCCUUGGCUUCACGAACUCUAAGAGCACAUUCACUUAUGAUGAGCUGGUGAGGGCAACCGAUGGGUUCUCUGAUGCUAAUCUCCUCGGACAAGGUGGUUUUGGAUAUGUUCACAAAGGAGUGCUGCCUAAUGGCAAAGAGAUUGCUGUGAAGCAAUUGAAACUUGGGAGUGGCCAGGGAGAGCGUGAGUUCCAGGCGGAGGUUGAGAUUAUCAGCCGUGUUCAUCACAAGCAUCUUGUGUCUCUGGUUGGUUACUGCAUCUCUGGGGGGAAGAGGUUGCUUGUAUAUGAGUUUGUUACCAAUAACACAUUGGAAUUCCACUUACAUGGAAAAGGCCGUCCAACGUUGGAGUGGCCCAUAAGACUAAGGAUUGCCCUUGGUGCUGCUAAGGGUUUGGCAUACAUUCACGAAGAUUGCCACCCGAAGAUCAUACAUCGUGAUAUAAAGUCAUCAAACAUUCUUCUUGAUUUUAAAUUCGAAGCUAAGGUUGCGGAUUUUGGUCUGGCAAAGUUCACCUCUGAUAACAACACACAUGUGUCAACAAGAGUAAUGGGCACUUUUGGGUAUCUAGCACCAGAGUAUGCGUCUUCUGGAAAGCUAACUGAGAAAUCAGAUGUCUUUUCCUUUGGAGUGAUGCUUCUUGAGCUGAUAACUGGGCGCCGGCCUGUUGAUUCAACCCAAACAUAUAUGGAUGACAGCUUGGUUGAUUGGGCAAGACCUUUACUGAUGCGAGCACUUGAGGAUGGUAACUAUGAUGAGUUAGUGGAUGCUCGUCUGGGAAAGGAUUUCAAUCCUAAUGAGAUUGCCAGAAUGAUAGCAUGUGCUGCUGCAUGUGUACGCCAUUCAGCACGUCGUCGCCCUCGAAUGAGUCAGGUUGUUCGGGCCUUGGAAGGUGACGUCUCUUUGGAGGAUCUUAACGAAGGUGUUCGGCCUGGUCAUAGCCGCUUUUUCGGAUCAUACAGCAGUUCUGACUAUGAUUCUGGGCAGUACAACGAGGACAUGAAGAAGUUCAAGAAGAUGGCCUUUACGACGAAUGACUACACGAGCAGCCAAUACAGUGCGCCGACAAGCGAGUAUGGUCAGAUACCAUCUGCAUCAAGCAGUGAGGGCCAACAAACUCAAGAAAUCGAGACAGGGACAAUGAAGAAAGGUGGCCACAGUGGCUACAGUUCAGGAUACAGCGGGCCGUCGUGA